RNAcentral lists this ribosomal RNA (792 nucleotides) under uncultured Desulfurococcales archaeon. RNAcentral describes it as "partial 16S ribosomal RNA". It matches the Rfam family "Archaeal small subunit ribosomal RNA", at positions 19 to 759 of the family's 1478-position model. The record is from RNAcentral. Lineage: Archaea; Thermoproteati; Thermoproteota; Thermoprotei; Desulfurococcales.
GGACCCGACUGCUAUCGGGGUAGGGCUAAGCCAUGGAAGUCGAACGCCCCGCCGCUGCGGGGCGUGGCGCACGGCUGAGUAACACGUGGCUAACCUACCCUCGGGAGGGGGAUAACCUCUCGGGAAACUGGGGCUAAUCCCCCAUAGGCGGGGAGGCCUGGAAAGGUUCCCCGCCAAAAGGGGGCGCAGGGGGCCAUCGCCUGCGCUCCGCCCGAGGAUGGGGCUGCGGCCUAUCAGGUAGUUGGCGGGGUAACGGCCCGCCAAGCCGAAGACGGGUAGGGGCCGUGAGAGCGGGAGCCCCCAGAUGGGCACUGAGACAAGGGCCCAGGCCCUACGGGGCGCACCAGGCGCGAAAACUCCGCAAUGCGGGAAACCGUGACGGGGCUACCCCGAGUGCCCCCCUUGUGGGGGCUUUUCCCCGCUGUAAGAAGGCGGGGGAAUAAGCGGGGGGCAAGUCUGGUGUCAGCCGCCGCGGUAAUACCAGCCCCGCGAGACCGGGGCCCUAAACAAGCCCCGGCGCGACUGGUCGGGGUGAUUAUUGGGCCUAAAGCGGCCGUAGCCGGCCCGGUAAGUCCCCCCUGAAAGUCUCGGGCUCAACCCGAGAAGCGGGGGGAUACUGCCGGGCUAGGGGGCGGGAGAGGCCGAGGGUACUCCCGGGGUAGGGGCGAAAUCCUAUAAUCCCGGGAGGACCACCAGUGGCGAAGGCGCUCGGCUGGAACGCGCCCGACGGUGAGGGCCGAAAGCCGGGGGAGCGAACCGGAUUAGAUACCCGGGUAGUCCCGGCUGUAAACU